CGCGGGAUGGAGCAGUUCGGUAGCUCGUCGGGCCCAUAACCCGAAGGUCGUAGGUUCAAAUCCUACUCCCGCAA
Molecule: transfer RNA, 74 nt
Filed under: Apilactobacillus kunkeei
Lineage: Bacteria; Bacillati; Bacillota; Bacilli; Lactobacillales; Lactobacillaceae
Also listed under: 24 other names
Description: tRNA-Met
Rfam family: tRNA
About the family: Transfer RNA (tRNA) molecules are approximately 80 nucleotides in length. Their secondary structure includes four short double-helical elements and three loops (D, anti-codon, and T loops). Further hydrogen bonds mediate the characteristic L-shaped molecular structure. tRNAs have two regions of fundamental functional importance: the anti-codon, which is responsible for specific mRNA codon recognition, and the 3' end, to which the tRNAs corresponding amino acid is attached (by aminoacyl-tRNA synthetases). tRNAs cope with the degeneracy of the genetic code in two manners: having more than one tRNA (with a specific anti-codon) for a particular amino acid; and 'wobble' base-pairing, i.e. permitting non-standard base-pairing at the 3rd anti-codon position.
Source: RNAcentral